RNAcentral lists this long non-coding RNA (229 nucleotides) under Elaeis guineensis (African oil palm). Its description in RNAcentral is "long non-coding RNA (EGUI_LNC044124)". The record is from RNAcentral. Lineage: Eukaryota; Viridiplantae; Streptophyta; Magnoliopsida; Arecales; Arecaceae.
GCUGGAUCCAAACCAAAAACAUAACAAAACUCGAAGGGAUUUGAGAAAUACCUUGACAGGGUCUUUGCUAAAAAUUUCAGCCUUUGAAGAUCUUCAACUUCUGGAGUUUUCUUCUUUCUCCACACAAUCCGUGCUCUGAUACCAAUUAUUGGAGCAACUUUUUCAAGUUGUGGAUAUCAGGAAACAGUAAGGAUCAGAUUGUGGAGGUCUUUGAAGGCCAACAACCAAG